CUACCAGAAGAAGACACCGGCUAACUCCGUGCCAGCAGCCGCGGUAAUACGGAGGGUGCGAGCGUUAAUCGGAAUUACUGGGCGUAAAGCGCAUGCAGGCGGCCGCGUUAAGUCAGAUGUGAAAGACCCGGGGCGUUAACCUCCGGAAAUUGCAUUUGUAAACUAGGCAGGCUAGAGUCUUGUAGAGGGGGGUAGGAAGUUUCAGGUGUAGCGGUGAAAUAGCGUAGAGAUCUGAAGGAAUACCAGUGGCGAAGGCGGCCCCCUCGGACAAAGACUGACGCUCAGAUGCGAAAGCGUGGGGAGCAAACAGGAUUAGAUACCCUGGUAG
RNAcentral lists this ribosomal RNA (328 nucleotides) under uncultured bacterium. RNAcentral's name for it is "bacterial SSU rRNA". It matches the Rfam family "Bacterial small subunit ribosomal RNA", at positions 478 to 793 of the family's 1533-position model. The record is from RNAcentral.